RNAcentral lists this long non-coding RNA (1125 nucleotides) under Papio anubis (olive baboon). RNAcentral describes it as "lncRNA (ENSPANG00000042037.1)". The record is from RNAcentral. Lineage: Eukaryota; Metazoa; Chordata; Mammalia; Primates; Cercopithecidae.
AUGUAUGUCCCUAUUCAGGUACACCCACCUGUCUAUCCAUCUAGCCAUAUAUGUAUGUGUCUAGCCAUCCAUCCAUGUACAUAUGUACCUAUCUACCCACCUAUCUAUUUAUGUAUGUAUGUACCUAUCCAUCCACCUGUCUAUUCAUAUGUGUAUGUACCCUAUCUUCCCCUGUCCUAUUCUUAUGUGUACCUGUCUAUCCACACAUCUAUUCAUGUAUGUGCCUAUCCAUCACACAAUACUAUUCAUGUGUGUGUGCCUAUCUAUACCUAUACUAUUCUAUUUUAUAUAUGUACCUAUCCACCUAUUCAUAUGUGUAUGUACCUAUCCAUCCCCCUGUCUAUUCUUAUGCCUAUCCAUCCCCUGUCUAUUCAUAUGUGUAUACUAUCCAUCCACCUGUCUAUUCAUAUGUGCUUCAUGUACCUAUCUAUCCCCCUGUCUAUUCAUAUAUGUAUGUACCUAUCCAUCCACCUGUCUAUUAAAUUGUAUGUAUGUACUAUCCAUCCACUAUAUUCAUUGUAUGUAUGUACCCUGUCCAUCCACCUGUCUGACCAUUGUAUGUGUCUUUUUAUCCAUCCACCUGUCUAUUCGUGUAUGUAUGUACCUAUCCAUCCACCUGUCUAUUCGUGUAUGUAUGUACUUAUCCAUCUGUCAUCCUCUUUAUUCUGCAGCUCCUUUCCUCACCCACAGUGUGAGCCUGCCACGCUAACCGUGACAUGUGUCACUCCAGUUCAUUCAUGUAUGGUUGCAGGGUUGCUGGGGCACACAGAGUACCAGGGGAAUGCCAGUCCUGGCUGGGCCACAGUGUCCAUCCUACUGAUGGAGUGUCAGGGGGUGGGGGUGGGGCUCCAGGUUUCUGCUAGUCUAGCACGGCUACUAAACCCUCUUAUGCAGGCGCAAGGGGUUCCAGGGCAGGUACUGAGACACAUGCUGGCCAGGUCCCACGGCAUGGCUGUCCUUGGCCUCCUGACACCGCCACAGCUCUGGCUGAGGCUGCUCUGCAUCGCCCGCCACCACAGGCGUGAGAGCCGCCUUUCCGUGUUUCUGUGGUCCAUUCUGUUUCCGGUUUGUGAAUUGCCAGUUCCUAUUUUCUCCCUUUUCAGUGGGUUCUUGGCCUUUUCUUAA